Tinamus guttatus (white-throated tinamou) is the source of this 100-nucleotide non-coding RNA. The record is from RefSeq and is a predicted model, not a curated record. NCBI's taxonomy places the organism in Eukaryota, Metazoa, Chordata, Aves, Tinamiformes, Tinamidae.
GUAUUUGUGAGACUGUUGUUUCUUGCUGUGCUGUCUUCGCCAUAACAUUUCAUGCUGCUUUCAUUCUCUGAUCUCAAAGUGAUGUAUCUGUCACUGUUUU